RNAcentral lists this long non-coding RNA (2135 nucleotides) under Sus scrofa (pig). Its description in RNAcentral is "lncRNA (ENSSSCG00065005901.1)". The record is from RNAcentral. Lineage: Eukaryota; Metazoa; Chordata; Mammalia; Artiodactyla; Suidae.
AAAGCUCAGGAGUCAGUGCUGGAAUUAUUUAUGUCGUUAAUACAUAUUAUUUUUGAUCAGUAUCACCCAACUCCCUUAGCAAGUGGGAAGCACUAUCUCUCCUCUAAUCUCAUCGGUGCAGCUCUCCUACUAUUAUGUAAGGUUCAGUCCCAGGAAGUGAUCAGCUCAGCCUCCUGCAAAGUCAAGACAUAUUACAUUCAUUAGUACCUUCUCCUCCAGUCAGCUCCUAACUUCCUCAGAGACUGCAGUCAGGUGGGUGAUAGCUGACCUACCUUCUUUGAAGUCACCUCAUGAUUGGCAGGUCAUGAUGAGGCCGGAAUGUACUUAACACAAACUUGUAACCCUCUUUAGUCUGAUACUUUUAUUAAGGAACACAACUGGAAACAUUGAAUAAAGCCAUGCAUCUGUUCUAAGUGUAAAGUGUUCAAGUAAUGCAUUGUAAAGCUUUACUGUUUGUUGGAAAAAAUAAUUUAACCUAACUUCUCCUCAUUUGCAUAUGAAAAAGGGAUCUCUGGACAGAGCAAUUUAUCUAAAAUCUCUCCAUAAGUGAGUGGCAGAAUCAGCUUCAAAAUAAGGAGUGGGGCAUUUCCUUUGUAGCUUACUGGGUUAAGAACCCAACUAGUAUCCAUGAGGAUGUGGGUUCAAUCUCUGACCUCAUUCAUUGGGUUAAGGAUCUGGCAUUACCACAAACUGUGGUGCAGGACUCAAAAUGCAGCUGAGAUCCUGCAUUGCUGCAGUUGUGGUAUAGGCUGUCAGCUGCAGCUCCAAUUCGACCCCUAGCCUGGAAACCUCCAUAUGUCAUGGGUAUGGCCCUAAGGGAAAAAAAAAAAAAAGUCCUAAAUGUCCAUCUAAAAGUAGGCAAUGGACGCUUACUGCCUAAACUUCACCAAUGGGGAACUUUUUUUUUUUUUACUAGUUUUUACUUAGAAACUAUCUUUAGGGGUUCAAGCUCCUCAACAUCUAAUUAUAGUUGCUUGCAAAUGCAUGACUUUCUAUUGAAAGGAAUGGAGUAAAAUAGUAUUGCUUAUCAAUUUACUGAAUUCUGAGAUUUAGAGAGGCCUGACAUGUGUUGGUCACAAAUUCUGAUUUCCCUGAAGAAGUUCAAGAUUGUUUUAUUUCACAGUGAGAAUUGUCCCCAGAUGGAUUAAGAAUGAACAGAGAUGCUCAGGAUUCUGGAAGAGCUCAGUAUGAGGGUGGAACUUGAGGUUGAAAGGCGUGGAGGAGGUGAAAUGUCCUCUUCUGACCUCUGUGGUUCAUGUGUUUCAUUCUAAAAAACUGGUUAGAGAAGUGGCAAGAUGGCUUCUGGAGAUGAAUUCUACCUAGGAAGAGCCAUGCCCUCUCAGAGCCAGACAAAUUCAAAGCCAGGUCCAGAAAGAAAGGAGUCCUGGUGUGGGCAUCUGGGGUGAUUUCUGCAUGGGUCCAUUCAUUCUCAGCUUUCUCCCUGUCUCCAACCUCGUACACUGUUGCCCACCCCACAUAUUUUCUGUUUCCAGUUCUCCCCUUUCACUUCUCCUUCCAAUAAAGCACAGCUUCUGUCUUCUUGACGCCACCUCCAUUGUCACGACCUGCAAUAACCCCCAUGCCCCUAACCUAAGGACCUUUAUUGCUUCCCAUUUAACUUGGGUUCUUGGUGAUUGUAAGCAUGUAUGUGGCAAACACUCCUUCACGACUCUGUCUUUCUCUAGCUUCCAAACCAAAUGGUUUCUCUUAUAUGUCUACCAUUUAUUUGUCAGUGUUCUUUCCUGGUUUAUUUUCUUGCAUACAUUAGAUGAGAAACUUCCUUAGGAGUGAACACUAGACCCAUUUCUCCUGCUAUAGUCUUUACUUGGAGAUAUUCUUACCCUUACUCUUUUAAUUUGCACAUUUUUGUUGUGAUGAUUCCCACAUGCACAUCAUCCGUUCAAGCUUUUCCUCUGAAGUCCAACGUUCUACUUGAAUUAUCCACUUGGAUGAAAACACCUCCGAGUCUACUUGUCCAUAAUGAACUUAAAAUACCCUUCAAAAUAUAUUAUUCCUCCAGUGUUUUCCUGCCUCAGAGCAGAAAGUCAUAAACCCCACCAGAGCAGAAAGUGAGGUAUCAUCCUUCAGAGCCCCUUGUUUCUUACCUACUAUUUUAAAGUCAUGUUAAUUAGCUU